This 72-nucleotide transfer RNA is filed under the name Procellaria cinerea. Its description in RNAcentral is "tRNA-Lys". It matches the Rfam family "tRNA". From Rfam's summary of the family: Transfer RNA (tRNA) molecules are approximately 80 nucleotides in length. Their secondary structure includes four short double-helical elements and three loops (D, anti-codon, and T loops). Further hydrogen bonds mediate the characteristic L-shaped molecular structure. tRNAs have two regions of fundamental functional importance: the anti-codon, which is responsible for specific mRNA codon recognition, and the 3' end, to which the tRNAs corresponding amino acid is attached (by aminoacyl-tRNA synthetases). tRNAs cope with the degeneracy of the genetic code in two manners: having more than one tRNA (with a specific anti-codon) for a particular amino acid; and 'wobble' base-pairing, i.e. permitting non-standard base-pairing at the 3rd anti-codon position. The record is from RNAcentral. Lineage: Eukaryota; Metazoa; Chordata; Aves; Procellariiformes; Procellariidae.
CAUUAAGAAGCUAUGUAACAGCGCUAGCCUUUUAAGCUAGAGAGAGAGGGUUGUCUACUACCUCCUUAAUGA